Molecule: long non-coding RNA, 563 nt
Filed under: Homo sapiens (human)
Lineage: Eukaryota; Metazoa; Chordata; Mammalia; Primates; Hominidae
Description: non-protein coding lnc-CPLX1-10:1
Source: RNAcentral
CCUGAACCCAGGAGUUUGAAACCAGCUUGAGCAAUAUAGUGAGACCCCUGUAAGAAUUAGCCAGCUGUGGUGGUGAGCAGCUGUGGUGAGCAGCUGUGGUGGUGAGCAAAUGUGGGCAGCUGUGGUGAGCAGGUGUGAGCAGCUGUGGUGAGCUAUGGUGAGCAGGUGUGAGCAGCUGUGGUGAGCAGGUGUGAGCACCUGUGGUGAGCAGCUGUGAGCACCUGUGGUGGUGAGCAGCUGUGGUGAGCAGCUGUGGUGGUGAGCAGGUGUGAGCAGCUGUGGUGGUGAGCAGGUGUGAGCAGCUGUGGUGGUGAGUAGGUGUGAGCAGCUGUGGUGGUGAGCAGCUGUGGUGAGCAGCUGUAGUGAGCAGCUGUGGUGAGCAGGUGUGAGCAGCUGUGGUGAGCAGCUGUGGUGGUGAGCAGGUGUGGUGAGCAGCUGUGGUGAGCAGGUGUGGUCCCAGCUACUCAGCAAGCUGAGGUGGGAAGAUCACUUGGAUCGCUUGAGCCCAGGAGGUCAAGGCUGGCCUGAGCUAUUAUUGCAUCACUGCACUCCAGUCUGGGCAG